AGAGUUUGAUCCUGGCUCAGAACGAACGCUGGCGGCGUGCCUAACACAUGCAAGUCGAACGGAUUUGAGGGGCUUGCUCCUCAAGUUAGUGGCGCACGGGUGAGUAACGCGUAGAUAAUCUGCCUGAUGAUCCGGGAUAACACUUCGAAAGGGGUGCUAAUACCGGAUAAGCCCACGGGGUCUUUGGAUUCUGCGGGAAAAGGGGGGGACCUUCGGGCCUUCUGUCAUCAGAUGAGUCUGCGUACCAUUAGCUAGUUGGUAGGGUAAUGGCCUACCAAGGCUACGAUGGUUAGCUGGUUUGAGAGAAUGAUCGGCCACACUGGAACUGAGACACGGUCCAGACUCCUACGGGAGGCAGCAGUGGGGAAUUUUGCGCAAUGGGCGAAAGCCUGACGCAGCAACGCCGCGUGAGUGAUGAAGGCUUUCGGGUCGUAAAGCUCUGUCGAGGGGAAAGAAGUGUAUUGUGGCUAAUAUCCGCGAUACUUGACGGUACCCCUAAAGGAAG
RNAcentral lists this ribosomal RNA (505 nucleotides) under uncultured Geobacter sp. RNAcentral's name for it is "bacterial SSU rRNA". It matches the Rfam family "Bacterial small subunit ribosomal RNA", at positions 8 to 490 of the family's 1533-position model. The record is from RNAcentral. Lineage: Bacteria; Pseudomonadati; Thermodesulfobacteriota; Desulfuromonadia; Geobacterales; Geobacteraceae.